This 469-nucleotide long non-coding RNA is filed under the name Mus spicilegus (steppe mouse). RNAcentral describes it as "lncRNA (ENSMSIG00000001867.1)". Lineage: Eukaryota; Metazoa; Chordata; Mammalia; Rodentia; Muridae. The record is from RNAcentral.
CUAAAGAAAGGAAAGGAAGGAAUCCCAAAGAAGCAUGUUGUGUUCCCUGAAGGAGUUCGGUUUUGUGUGCCAAGGAGCACAGCUGGGGCGACCCUGCAUUGGCUAAGCUUCCUGUGCCUGAAGAGAGAAAGGAACCUACGAAGCUCAGCCGGGGCUCUGGACAAGUUCCUGUGCCUUGAAGUUGCUAUUUAUGAGAUUAUGGUUAUGUGGAGAAAGAAAACAGAGCUGGAGACCUUGAUCUGGAUAGCUGACCUGGAUUUUUCAGAAGCAGAUAAUGAAAUCUAAUAUAUCUUGGUCAGGUCAAUGAUAAGAGAAGAGAAGAGGGGAGUAAAAGAGAGGGAGGAAAUCCUGCCUCCUUCAGGAAGAGACAUAGACAAUAUCACCUGGCUUUUGCUUUCUGUUUCUGGGAGAGGAUCUGAUUGGUAAGAUGGGUGAAGGAAUAAAGUGUAUCCUGCAGGACUUGUAGUCA